GGAGGCUGUUUGCAACCGUGGUCACAAAAUUCAAUGUUCUGGGAGAAUUGGAAGCAGCUCAAUUUUUUUGGGGCCCCUUACACAGCUCAAGGUCUGGGCCCCAGGGCCUGACGGUGAGUAUGCCCAUAAGGCCCACUCAUAAGUUCCACCCACCCAUGAGUUCGCUCACAGGGUGUGGAGUGUGUAGGGGAUGUGUUAUUGUAGAGGAUCUAAUGUGUGUGCUUAUGGUAUGUAGUGUUUAGGGUUACCAGUUUGUGCAGGUGAUGCAGUGUGUUUGUGUGUAGUGGAAGCAGUGUGUAUUUGUGUAUAAG
This is a non-coding RNA of Pelobates cultripes (western spadefoot toad), 311 nucleotides long. The record is from the annotation of a GenBank genome assembly. Lineage: Eukaryota; Metazoa; Chordata; Amphibia; Anura; Pelobatidae.